This 88-nucleotide non-coding RNA is filed under the name Pseudomonas sp. bs2935. Lineage: Bacteria; Pseudomonadati; Pseudomonadota; Gammaproteobacteria; Pseudomonadales; Pseudomonadaceae. The record is from RNAcentral.
UGUGGGAGCUGGCUUGCCUGCGAUGGCGGUGUGUCAGCUGGGGAUUUUUUACUGAUGCACCGUCAUCGCAGGCAAGCCAGCUCCCACA